AUGUCGUCAUGGGGUUCUCCUUCGUGCCCUCAAUAUGUUCAGGGGGAGAUUUUUUUGCCUACCCCCUGUACCUCCAAAAAGCAAAUGGCCUGUAAGCCAGUUAAAUUUUUUGCAAUGGAUGUGGCAUGCAAGUACUGGCCUUACCUCCAGAGAGUGACAGAGAAAUGCCCUGAGCUUGAGGAUCUCCUCACCAUGAGGCCAUUUCUUUCUGUUUUUCAUGCCAAAGCUCAUGAUUUCAAAUGUGAGGUAAAAUGGAGUGGAGCAUAUCAGGAGGGGGCUGGUUCGACUCUUGGGGAAGAGGUGGAGCAGUGCAACGCCUUCCUCUCGAGGAUUGCUGUUACGACAAAGCACAUGUCAAAAAGCAGGACGCAUAGACAUGCUGACGAUCAUGGCCAUGCGCUGGAACCAACAAAAAGUUUGACAACUUGGCUUCUACCCUUGCCCGCCGAUAUCGGAAGGUAAAGACACCAGUUUUCCCUUAUGCAAAAAUGCAUAGCGAUAUUGUAAAAAUAAAGCAAAUAAAUGGCAUAUAUCACAAAAAAAUAUAGAGAACACUUGCCCAG
Molecule: long non-coding RNA, 563 nt
Organism: Cyprinus carpio carpio
Lineage: Eukaryota; Metazoa; Chordata; Actinopteri; Cypriniformes; Cyprinidae
Source: Ensembl